RNAcentral lists this long non-coding RNA (422 nucleotides) under Salmo salar (Atlantic salmon). RNAcentral describes it as "lncRNA (ENSSSAG00000094636.1)". The record is from RNAcentral. Lineage: Eukaryota; Metazoa; Chordata; Actinopteri; Salmoniformes; Salmonidae.
CAUCAGACUGUUAAACAGCUUCUAUCUCCAGGCCAUCAGACUGUUAAACAGCUUCUAUCUCCAGGCCAUCAGACUGUUAAACAGCUUCUAUCUCCAGGCCAUCAGACUGUUAAACAGCUUCUAUCUCCAGACCAUCAGACUGUUAAACAGCUUCUAUCUCCAGGCCAUCAGACUGUUAAACAGCUUCUAUCUCCAGACCAUCAGACUGUUAAACAGCUUCUAUCUCCAGACCAUCAGACUGAUAAACAGCUUCUAUCUCCAGGCCGUCAGACUGUUAAACAGCUUCUAUCUCCAGGCCGUCAGACUGUUAAACAGCUUCUAUCUCCAGACCAUCAGACUGAUAAACAGCUUCUAUCUCCAGACCAUCAGACUGAUAAACAGCUUCUAUCUCCAGGCCGUCAGACUGGUAAACAGCUUCUAUC